CUUCACUGUGCCCUUAACUUUUCACUUUUCAGUUCAACCUCAUUCAGAAAAACACCCCAAGGAACAGCCUUUCCCCCCCUUCCCUGUCCAGAUUCACUGGAUAGAUGCACUCCUGAAACUCUGGAGUUUGCCUGGGUAACUCAUCUCCACCACCCUCUAACAAAGGAAGGCUCACAGGGGAAAGAACUGCAAUUGCAUUUACUGGAAUAUCUGAUGCAGGUGGAACGUACAUGGUCAGGUAACAGGAACCUUUUGCCACUGCUUGAAGGACUCUUCCUCCUCCCCUACUCCGGUGAUGCCUUUUAUAAAAUGGAUUAAAACUUUCAAUACAAGUAUUUUAUAAACCAG
This is a long non-coding RNA of Vidua macroura (Pin-tailed whydah), 348 nucleotides long. RefSeq lists it as uncharacterized. Lineage: Eukaryota; Metazoa; Chordata; Aves; Passeriformes; Viduidae. The transcript has 2 exons. The record is from RefSeq and is a predicted model, not a curated record.